CGGAAACCCUCAGCGAGCGCCUGCCAGGAAGCUGUCACUGGAGGGGAUUUUCCAUUGGUGUCAGCAGGAGCAGCAUGGGCUGGGGGGGGAUUUGCAGGGCCGGGGGGAGGGGGGGGGUCCGGGUGCGUGUGAGAGAACAGUGCAAGUGUGAGAGCGUGUGAGGGAUGGGGGCAGAAGGGGGGACACAUAGGACGGGUACCCCCAUGGUGCGUGUGCAAGGGGGGAGAGCCCCCUCUGUGUGUGUGUGUGUGUGUGUGUGCAAGAGUGAUGUGCUGUGCAGCCCCGUGUCUGUGAGUGCACUGUGGGGGGGGGACGACACGACAUCCCCAGAGCCCCCCUCGGGUGUGCGUGCAAAGCCCCCAUCACAUCGGGCGUGGGGCAGCCGUGACCCCCAGCGCACACAGCGCGUGUCCCUCUUUGGGGAGAAGGGGUGGAUUUGGGGCCGGCGCAGCCCACCCCGCCGGGGAUGUGGGGCCGCCGCGUCCCCAUCUGUGUGGCGGUCCCCUCCCGUCUCCCGGUGGCAUCUCCGGCCCCACCCCGACAUCUGGGUGGCCUCAGAGCCGGGCAGCAGCCCACGUCCGCGUCCUGCGGGGCCGCAGCGCUGCCAACGGAGCCCUUCUGGGAGGGUCCGGGCGCCGGCAGCCCCGGCGGGGGGCGGUGGUGGUGGUGGGGAUGGGGCGGGGGGGGGGGAAGGGGGGCGGGAGGGACGCAGCGCCCCCCGGUGCCACCCCUCCCACCCCGCGGCAGUGCCACCCUGCGCGCAGGCUGAGCCGAGCCCGAAACCGUUAAACUAAUUAAAGCUUUGCAGCAGCGGGAUUAAGGCCGGGCAGGGGAGGUGGCAGCCCAGGUAGUCGAUUAGUUCACCAGGCGCGGAUAUUGGAUUUCUGCGCGGCGAGUCAGCAGUCUUCGGGGGCUGUUAUCUUUGCGAGGCUCCAGGGGUCAGGAGGUGGAUGCAGGGGUGGCUGUGAGUCCCGUCCCCCCCCGCUCUCCAUCCCCCCCCCCCCCUUCCCUUCACCCGCCGCAGCGCCGCUCCCAUCCAUCUCUCUCCCUCCAUCCCUCCUCUCUUGUGUGGUCUCGGAUGGUGUUUUGUAACCAGCAAAAGGAAAAAAAAAAAAAAAGGAAAAAAAAAAGAGAGAGAAGGAAAGCGGCCCUACCCCUGGCUAGCAACCCAGGAAUGGCGAAGUCCAGAGCGCCUAAUGCGAAACAUGUGGCCGCUGCCUGGGGCUGAGCAGAGGAGGUGAAAGUGAGCGCGGCGGCGCGGCGAGCAUCCCGGCCCGGUGCUGCUGGGGGCUGCCGGGAGCUGCCCGGCCCCACGGCUCGGGGUGGGGGGCUGCAGGUGG
RNAcentral lists this long non-coding RNA (1340 nucleotides) under Gallus gallus (chicken). Lineage: Eukaryota; Metazoa; Chordata; Aves; Galliformes; Phasianidae. The record is from RNAcentral.